RNAcentral lists this ribosomal RNA (254 nucleotides) under uncultured bacterium. RNAcentral's name for it is "partial 16S ribosomal RNA". It matches the Rfam family "Bacterial small subunit ribosomal RNA", at positions 524 to 776 of the family's 1533-position model. The record is from RNAcentral.
GACGAACCGUGCGAACGUUAUUCGGAAUCACUGGGCUUAAAGCGCGUGUAGGCGGCCCGGGACGUCCGUCGCUGAAAUCCCCCGGCUCAACCGGGGAAGGGGCGCGGCUACGACCGGGCUGGAGGGGGGUAGGGGAAUCGGGAACUUCCGGUGGAGCGGUGAAAUGCGUUGAGAUCGGAAGGAACGCCCGUGGCGAAAGCGCGGUUCUGGACCCCACCUGACGCUGAGACGCGAAAGCCAGGGGAGCGAACGGG